Molecule: long non-coding RNA, 1658 nt
Filed under: Marmota monax (woodchuck)
Lineage: Eukaryota; Metazoa; Chordata; Mammalia; Rodentia; Sciuridae
Source: RNAcentral
GGAACUGUGGGGAUCUACCAGAAGAUCUCAGAAAUGACUGUCUCCCCGAUUAACAAGUGCUUACAACUCCAACAGAGAACGUGUGGAAUGGAGCCUCUGAAUCACCUCUUUAAGAGCCUCCCCCUCCCUUCCUGCUGAUGGGCAGAAUCGCAGCCUUUGGAGCAGGAGUCCCGUGUGUUUCUGCUUUGCUAGCAAAGCCAUCAAUCUUCUUUUUCCUUUUUCUCAAAACAGUGUCCUUGUUAUUGGAUGGACAUGGGGAGACCAGGACUGAUCUGUCGGCAACAGGACGUGGUGGAUAUCAUGUGGAUUUUAUAUAUGAGGUUGCUAAAGUGGACAGGCUGAGUCAUGUAUCUUGCCUAGUCACAGAGCUAGGUCUGUGUGAUUUCCAAGCCUGUUUCUUUUUGUGAAGUGUUUAUUCAGAAAACUUUCUUACAGGGUCCAUAAACAUUUUAACUCGGUUGUCUCUGGCUUUUCCAGUACCGUAUACAGAUGUGUAUCCAUCCAUCCAUCUGUGCACACACAUUCCCAUUGACAUCUGUGGGUUGGAAUGCGAGGGGGCAGGUGUGUUGACUACUGUAGGUAGAGGCUGCUUGGGUGCCUCUCCUUAAUGGAACCAUCAAACUCUUUUGUUCUGAAACUGGGUUUAAUCAGUCAAAUGUUAUCUGGGGGACUGACUCAUGCUAACCAAGCCAACUGAUAAAACAGGUAGGUGUUGCUUUGCCAAUUAAAUGUGAGAAGUGAGGCAAUUUACCAAGCUUCUUCCUUCCCACCUUGGUGGUGAUUGUGGAAGAUGUGUGGAGACGGAGCCUCCAUCAGCCUGGGUGCCUGAGUGACAGGUGAACAGACUUGUGUUGAGCAGAAGAGGGAGAGACAAAUAAACUUCCUAUUUAAUCCAUAGAGAUGAUGGGGUUGUUUGUUAUGUAUGCUCAUGUUAACCUAUCCUGACUGAUACAGUAAAUUGGUCACUCCCUCUUAGCUUACAAUGACGAACAUCCAGUCCCACACAUAUAAAGGGAGGAGUGCUUGGACCCAAAUAAGAUUUUUCAUCUAACCUACAUGAAAAUGUCAAUGACUUACAAUCCAACUAAUCAGAAUUCAAUUAAUGUAUAUGCUUCUUACCACCUUCCAAUGCACUUGUCCAGGCCACAACCACCUCUGGAUUAUUGCAAAAGCCUCCUUGUGUUAUUUUCCUCAUAUACUUUUGCCACCCCAACCUCCUCCUCUAGUCCAAUCCUGGAGUGCACCUUUUACAAAACUAAUAUUUUAGUUAUCCAUAGAUUGGGAAUAUCUUUCUGUGUUAGUGAAAUUAUUUUUCGCUGAAGGAACAUAGAUUGGAAUUCAAGGCCAAUCACUUGCCCAGGGCCCUUCCCCUAGGCAGAUCUUGGUGUACUGUGCCAAAGAGAAGGGCAGGUGUUGGCUUGAUGUACGGUGAGUUAGAACAAAGAGAACCAUCUCUCCAGGGACGGCUUCCAUUUGGCAGUGGUGCCCUGACACGUACUCAGACUCCUAACCCAGGGCUCUGUGCAUGGGAUCAAAUGUGUUGAACCAGAAGACACCAUUCCAGCUACCCGAGUUCAUCCCACAUCAGUUUAAUAUGUACUUUUUAAUGUUUUAAUGUAUCAGUGGCAAAAAUUUAAAAAGUCAAAAUUAAAAAAAAA